RNAcentral lists this RNase P RNA (366 nucleotides) under Gammaproteobacteria bacterium. Its description in RNAcentral is "RNase P RNA component class A". It matches the Rfam family "Bacterial RNase P class A". From Rfam's summary of the family: Ribonuclease P (RNase P) is a ubiquitous endoribonuclease, found in archaea, bacteria and eukarya as well as chloroplasts and mitochondria. Its best characterised activity is the generation of mature 5'-ends of tRNAs by cleaving the 5'-leader elements of precursor-tRNAs. Cellular RNase Ps are ribonucleoproteins. The record is from RNAcentral. Lineage: Bacteria; Pseudomonadati; Pseudomonadota; Gammaproteobacteria.
AGAGUCGGCCAGGCAAUCGCUGGAUUCGCGAGAAUCCGGAGGAAAGUCCGGGCUCCACAGGGCAGGGCGCCAGGUAACGCCUGGAGGGUGUGAACCCAUGGAAAGUGCCACAGAAAAUAUACCGCCUAAGCGCCUGGCGCCGGUAAGGGUGAAAUGGUGCGGUAAGAGCGCACCGCGCGCGUGGCAACACGUCGCGGCACGGUAAACCCCGCCUGGAGCAAGACCAAAUAGGGGAGUACGCAGGCUUCACCGCCUGCACCGCGUGCCUGAGCGGACUCCCGGGUAGGUUGCUAGAGGCAGUCGGCGACGACUGUCCCAGAUGAAUGAUUGUCCACGACAGAACCCGGCUUACGGCCGGCUCACACU